UCGUCAGCUCGUGUCGUGAGAUGUUGGGUUAAGUCCCGCAACGAGCGCAACCCCUAUGCAUAGUUGCCAGCAGGUAAAGCUGGGCACUCUAUGCAGACUGCCCGGGUUAACCGGGAGGAAGGUGGGGACGACGUCAAGUCAUCAUGGCCCUUACACCUAGGGCUACACACGUACUACAAUGGCACGCACAAAGGGCAGCGAUACCGUGAGGUGGAGCCAAUCCCAAAAAACGUGUCCCAGUCCGGAUUGCAGUCUGCAACUCGACUGCAUGAAGUCGGAAUCGCUAGUAAUUCGAGGUCAGCAUACUCGGGUGAAUGCGUUCCCGGGCCUUGAACACACCGCCCGUCACACCACGAAAGUCGGUUUUACCCGAAGCCGGUGAGCCAACUAGCAAUAGAGGCAGCCGUCUACGGUAGGGCACGAUGAUUGGGGUGAAGUCGUAACAAGGUAACCGUA
Molecule: ribosomal RNA, 456 nt
Filed under: uncultured bacterium
Lineage: Bacteria
Description: bacterial SSU rRNA
Rfam family: Bacterial small subunit ribosomal RNA
Source: RNAcentral